CAAGUCCCAAAACCGAAUUCUAAGUCUGAAGAAUAGCACGUUAAUUAUAGUAGUGGUCUCGGUUCGAGUUCGUAAGGAGAUUAUCGAGGAAUCAAGAAGCUACAAAGGUAUGACUUCUAAAUUCGUUUAGAUGUAACUAGAGUAAGAUUCGAUCUCAAUUUCGUUGCGCAUGUAUUGUUUUCCAUCAUUGCCAAUAUGUUAUUUGUAGUUUAAUCUUGUGGUAAACUCUUGAUAAGUUGCUUUGCUUAUAACUCUUAUCGCGUUAGUUAAGUUAUUUCCAUCACCUGAUCAGUGCUUAUCGCCAACUACCUGAGAGGGCAAGUAGCAAGGAUAUGGCUAACGAGCAUCAGGAGGAGUUUGGAGACAAACUCUACCUUAGCGAGAUAACUUCCAUCAUUUGUACCCCAAAAGGAGGACAAGUGUGAGCAAUAGGCGUCGAGAAGUUGUUGUCCUUAAUGGCGAAGCUCUAUGCGUUUUAUAAGUGAAUCGUUAUAUACAUAUCUCGCUUAACUAGGUUGAGUCAUUUGUAGCCCAAAAGAAGGACAAAUGUGGAAUUUAUAGACUAUGAGAGGAGCUUGCCUUGAUCAUUAACUAGUUAUGAGAGUCAUAUUGCUUCAAGACUUUCAUGGUCUAAUCGCCUAGUCUUGCAUAGACAUUCUUUUAUCUAUUCUUCAUACAAGUUAGUUCGCAUCUCCAUUUUACAUCCAUCUAAUUCCCCUUUAUAGAAUCUCUAGAGUACAUAAGUAGUUUUAGUUCCGCUUUCAUUCAUUUAUUCAGUUAUUCAUUAUUCAUUAUUCUUUUAUACCGCCUAAUUGAUGUGUAAAUUCUAGAACUGAAUUUUGAUAUCAGUUCUUAGUAUUCGACUAUGGAUCAUCCAGAUAAACCUACUAUUUCGCUUAUACUUGGGCAAGCAAUAGAAAAACUUGUACCGACAAGAACUUAGCUUUAACAUAAUGAAUAGAGAUAUUUGGAGCAUUUUGCAUGCAAUGAUCAUGUCUGAAUGCAUAAUGAAGAGAUUCACAAUGAGCAUUUUGUAUGUAAUGAUCUUGAAUCAAUGACAUUAUGAUAAAUGAAAUGCAGUUUACCACACAAGUCAGGUCCCAUCGCACACAUCAAGAGUUUGUCACUUCUUGCCUCUAAUACUUGCCAAUUUUUUCCUAUUUUUCAAUAGCCAUGACACACUUUUUAUGGCAGUUUUUAUUCUUAACUUCCUUUAACACUUAAACUUCCAAACACUUCAAAGAACUUCAACUUUCCAAUGAUCUUGAGAAAUUUUAGAGUUUAAUAAAAUGUGGGCUAAGUAUCCACAUCUUUUCACUCCUUAAAGGCUCGUGAAAAUUUUGAGGAUGAAGUUUCAUAAGAGGGAGGUAAUUGUAAACCCUAUAACUUCCUUGAAUUAUUUUGCUAUCGUAGUCGGUUGAAAUUAAGUUAUUUUUAGUAUUUUAGAUUUUUUUUUUGAAAAAAAAUGAGAAUAGAGUGAGUGAUUUGGAAGGAAUAUGGGAAGUAGAGGAUUAAAUUAAGAAAAAAAAAAGGAAAGAAGGAUAAUGUAAUUUCUCCACCGCCAAAACCCUUUCGUUCUUGUUUUUCAUCAAUUUUUUUAGAAAGAGCUGAAGGAUGAAUCUGAAGAAGAUCUAAGGUAGAAGAAGAAGGUGAAGGUUGUGUUUUUGGGUGGAAAAAGAAGAAGAAAGGUGUGAAGGAUGUAGCAGCCAUGAGAGAAGCUUGGAACUCAUAAACAAUCUUUGAGUUUUUAGUUGGUUUGAGCUUCUUAGAAGGAAUUAAGAUAUAAGGUUAGUUUUAAUUGAAAGUUAACCCAUUUUCUAACAAAUGUUGUGAAGGAAGUUCGAGCAAAUACUGAAGUUUAGUUAAUGAUUUUUCCAAUUGAUUGAAAAUCCUUAAAUGUGAAUGUCUUUACGAUCAUGAGUUUAGCUUAGUUUUUUGUUGGAUUGUGAUGGUUAAUUUCUUUGAAACUUAUUUCUUUGAUAGAUAUAUAGUUUGAGUUUUCCAACUAGUUUAUUGGUUUUCUUAUCAAAGCAUUACACCAUUUUUUGUUUCCCAUUAGUUAUAUUUUCUGCUAAUUUGGUUGUUUAUAGUUUAUGCAUAUAUGGUAAUAGUUUGGUUGUAAUUGAAAGGAUUGGGAAGAGACAAUAAUCAAGAAAUAACUUGUUUAAGAAUUAGUAGAUGGUUAAAUGACUUGAAUUAAGAACUAUUUUGUGUAUUGAAAACUUAUUACAUCAAUAAGUUUUUUUUUUUCAAUGUGUUAUAAAAUAGUUCAUGAUUGCCUAUUUUCCCCUUAGGUUAUAAUUCUGGCUCCAUUUUGGGUAAGCUACCCGAAAAUGGCAAGGUUGGCUGAUGCAACUCCUGUGAUUCUUCCAACGCAUAUAGACUAUAACUUUCUUUUGAAUCCAAAGCUUCUUGAAUCAAAGAUCACAGAGAAAUCGAGGCUAUUGAUUCUUUUCUCUCCAUCCAACCUUACAGGAUCUGUUUAUCCAAAGGAACUACUUGAAAAGAUUGCUGAACUUGUUGCAAAACAUCCUAGACUUCUUGUGCUGUCUAAUGAAAUAUAUGAACACAUAAUUUACUCUCCAGCUACGCACAAGCUUUGCAUCAUUGCUAGGCAUGUGGUAAAGAGCUCUAACUAUUAAUGGGUUCUCUAAGGGCUUUACAAUGUCUGGUUGGCGACUUGGAUAUCUUGCUAGUCCCAAACCCUUUGUUUCUGCUUGUGGAAAAAUUCAGAGUCAAGUAUGUUUAAACUUUAGUAAUUCCAAACGAAGGUAUAUGGAUACUUUGAAUUUCUAUCUAGUGUUUGAGAAUUUGAUGUAAGGAUGAUGACUAAAGCCCCUAGGCAACAAAAAGUGUAAAGGGACUUCUAAAAAUAUGACUCUGAAUUUUUAUGUGUAAAGAGAUUAAGGUGGCUGCUUCUUUAGAUUCAAUGAUGAAUGUCUAGAUUUUAUUUA
Molecule: long non-coding RNA, 2954 nt
Organism: Cucumis melo (muskmelon)
Lineage: Eukaryota; Viridiplantae; Streptophyta; Magnoliopsida; Cucurbitales; Cucurbitaceae
Exons: 3
Source: RefSeq, a predicted model, not a curated record